GAUGAACGCUGGCGGCGUGCCUAAUACAUGCAAGUCGAGCGAACAGACGCGGAGCUUGCUCCUCUGACGUUAGCGGCGGACGGGUGAGUAACACGUGGAUCACCUACCUAUCAGACUGGGAUAACUUCGGGAAACCGGCGCUAAUACCGGAUAAUCUAUUGCACCGCAUGGUUCAAUAGUGAAAUACGGUUUUUCUGUCACUUAUAGAUGGAUCCGCGCCGCAUUAGAUAGUUGGUAAGGUAACGGCUUACCAAGGCAACGAUGCGUAGCCGACCUGAUAGGGUGAUCGCCCACACUGGAACUGGGACACGGUCCAUGCUCCUACGGGAGGCAGCAGUAGGGAAUCUUCCGCAAUGGGCGAAAGCCUUACGCAGCAACGCCGAGUGAGUGAUGAAGGUCUUCGGAUCGUAAAACUCUGUUAUUAGGGAAGAACAAAUGUGUAAGUAACUAUGCACGUCUUGACGGUACUUAAUCAGAAAGCCACGGCUAACUACGUG
RNAcentral lists this ribosomal RNA (497 nucleotides) under uncultured bacterium. RNAcentral's name for it is "partial 16S ribosomal RNA". It matches the Rfam family "Bacterial small subunit ribosomal RNA", at positions 28 to 507 of the family's 1533-position model. The record is from RNAcentral.